RNAcentral lists this ribosomal RNA (484 nucleotides) under uncultured bacterium. RNAcentral describes it as "partial 16S ribosomal RNA". It matches the Rfam family "Bacterial small subunit ribosomal RNA", at positions 28 to 507 of the family's 1533-position model. The record is from RNAcentral.
AUUGAACGCUGGCGGCAUGCUUUACACAUGCAAGUCGAACGGCAGCGCGGGCUUCGGCCUGGCGGCGAGUGGCGAACGGGUGAGUAAUGCAUCGGAACGUGCCCAGUAGUGGGGGAUAGCCCGGCGAAAGCCGGAUUAAUACCGCAUACGACCUGAGGGUGAAAGCGGGGGACCGAAAGGCCUCGCGCUAUUGGAGCGGCCGAUGUCGGAUUAGCUAGUUGGUGGGGUAAAGGCUUACCAAGGCGACGAUCCGUAGCUGGUCUGAGAGGACGACCAGCCACACUGGGACUGAGACACGGCCCAGACUCUUACGGGAGGCAGCAGUGGGGAAUUUUGGACAAUGGGGGCAACCCUGAUCCAGCCAUGCCGCGUGCGGGAAGAAGGCCUUCGGGUUGUAAACCGCUUUUGUUCGGGAAGAAAUCCUCUGGGCUAAUACCCCGGGGGGAUGACGGUACCGGAAGAAUAAGCACCGGCUAACUACGUG